RNAcentral lists this long non-coding RNA (344 nucleotides) under Ananas comosus (pineapple). RNAcentral's name for it is "long non-coding RNA (ACOM_LNC006320)". Lineage: Eukaryota; Viridiplantae; Streptophyta; Magnoliopsida; Poales; Bromeliaceae. The record is from RNAcentral.
CCUCCUCCCUAUGCACGAAUUAUUAUUAUUAUUACUAGCGUAAUAACCUGUGCGAUGCGACGGAUAGAUAAUUAAAGAAAAAAUAAAAAAAACCACAAUAAAAAAAGCAAUGAUGAUUGGGAUUUAUCUUGCUGAUGAACGAAAGUAACAGUGAAAAAAACAGAAAGAGGCAGGACUGGAACUGGUUCAGGGUGAAGCCCACAUUCAACCAUAAAGAAAAAGUUACCAUAUGUCAACUUAAAAAAAAAAAUGUAUAAAUAAAUAAAUAAAUAAAUAUAAAAGUAUAGAAAUAUAAAUAAUAAUAAUAAUAAUUAUUAUUAUUAUUAUUAUUAUUCUAAACGGAC